Molecule: long non-coding RNA, 322 nt
Filed under: Anas platyrhynchos platyrhynchos (common mallard)
Lineage: Eukaryota; Metazoa; Chordata; Aves; Anseriformes; Anatidae
Description: lncRNA (ENSAPLG00000024448.1)
Source: RNAcentral
UGCACAAGAGUGCACAAGGCUGCACGAGGACACGGGGUGCACGAGGGUGCACAAGGACACGGAGUGCACGAGGACAUGGGGUGCACAAGAGUGCACAAGGUUGCACGAGGACACGGGGUGCACAAGGACAUGGGGUGCACGAGGACAGAAGGUGCACGAGGAUAAAGGGAUGCACAAGGAUACACGAGGGUGCACGAGGGUGCACAAGGAUAAACGUGUGCACGAGGACAGGGGGUGCACGGGGCACAAGCGGCGUUGCACGAGGAUUCACGAGGACUCACGAGGACUCACGAGGAUGCACGAGGACGAAGGGGGUCACACG